RNAcentral lists this long non-coding RNA (511 nucleotides) under Mus pahari (shrew mouse). RNAcentral describes it as "lncRNA (MGP_PahariEiJ_G0004958.1)". Lineage: Eukaryota; Metazoa; Chordata; Mammalia; Rodentia; Muridae. The record is from RNAcentral.
AGAAUUCCAGUUUGGUCUAAUUUAGGAAGGAAGAUCUGCCUACUAUGGGUGGCACCAUUCAUGAGCUAAACUGAAGAGGAAAGAAAACUGAGGAUCUGCAUAAAUUAACAGUUCUCUGUUUCCUGGUUGGUGAUGAUUAUUCCUAAGGAAACCCAAGGAAGGCAACUUCAUGAAGCAUGGAGUACUGGUUCCAUGCAUGCUAAAAAAAAAAAAAAAUAAUAAAUCUACCAACAACUGUGAGUGAAACAAAAUUAAAGGGCAGAGAAAUGGCUACAUGGGUAAAGGAUUGCUUUUUAUAAGGAGAUGCAACAUCAUCUGUCAGCAACAUCUAUGGUCUGAAGUACUUGAAUGGAUAAGGAUGAUGAUGAUGAUGAUGAUGAUGAUGAUAAGGAGGAGGAGGAGCAGGAGUAGGAAGAGAAGGAGGAGGGCUGACCAGUGAUGAUGGAUUUUAUGAUGAAUAGUACUCAAAAAGAAAAAAAUUAAAAACAAAUAAAAGCUAAAGUUCUGCUCU